UCCCUGGUGGUCCAGUGGUUAAGACUCUGAGCUUUCAAUGCAAGGGGUGCAGGUUUAAUCCCUGAUCAGGGAA
This is a non-coding RNA of Bos taurus (domestic cattle), 73 nucleotides long. NCBI's taxonomy places the organism in Eukaryota, Metazoa, Chordata, Mammalia, Artiodactyla, Bovidae. The record is from Rfam.